GAUGAACGCUGGCGGCGUGCCUAAUACAUGCAAGUCGAGCGAACAGACGAGGAGCUUGCUCCUCUGACGUUAGCGGCGGGCGGGUGAGUAACACGUGGAUAACCUACCUAUAAGACUGGGAUAACUUCGGGAAACCGGAGCUAAUACCGGAUAAUAUAUUGAACCGCAUGGUUCAAUAGUGAAAGACGGUUUUGCUGUCACUUAUAGAUGGAUCCGCGCCGCAUUAGCUAGUUGGUAAGGUAACGGCUUACCAAGGCAACGAUGCGUAGCCGACCUGAGAGGGUGACCGGCCACCCUGAAACUGAGACACGGUCCAGACCCCUACGGGAGGCAGCAGUAGGGAACCUUCCGCAAGGGGCGAAAGCCUGCCGGAGCAACGCCGCGUGAGUGAUGAAGGUCUUCGGAUCGUAAAACUCUGUUAUUGGGAAGAACAAAUGUGUAAGUAACUAUGCACGUCUUGACGGUACCUAAUCAGAAAGCCACGGCUAACUACGUG
RNAcentral lists this ribosomal RNA (496 nucleotides) under uncultured bacterium. Its description in RNAcentral is "partial 16S ribosomal RNA". It matches the Rfam family "Bacterial small subunit ribosomal RNA", at positions 28 to 507 of the family's 1533-position model. The record is from RNAcentral.